UUGUACACCUAUAGAAGAUUUUUUUUUUCUCACCCGAUGGCUGGAAAUUUUUUUAAGUGAAAUUUAAUAAAUAGGCCUAUCCAAGCUAGGAAUGUUUUUUGCACUAUGCCUGGGAAGAUUUUUUCUCCUAAUUUUUUUCUGGGAAUAUUUUUUUUUGGUUUCCCUCCCCCCUCAUCACUUUUCUAAUGGUCCGUCCCUUACAAGGAAAUGAGAACAUGACUUCAUUCUACCAUCAAUUAGAACGGAAAGUUAAUAAUAAUCUGAUCAAUGGUCCUUAUUGCUUUUUAAAGAAUCGCUUGCCAUUCGAUGUUUUAAACCUGAUCUUAAUCACGGAAUUAUAAAAGGCGUCAAAAGACCUCAUAAUAAUUAACUAAAUUAACUAAUUAACUAACUAUAUGUUUGUAUAACAAAUUACUUUUACUCUUCACCUGUUCUCGUAACUAGAACCGUCAUGAUUAAUCAUCGAAUAAAACAAAUGAAUUUUUAGGCUUUAAUAUAUAAAGAAAACUAUAAAUGUUUUAUGUAUUUUCUACAUGUUUUUCUUGUCGCCAUGACAACCGUCCUCUCUCGCCAGUCUUUUUGCUCGGUCAAAUUUAUAUUACGUAAUAACUUUAAUAUAUUCAGAAACAUCACCUAGGAUCAUUCCUGAUGAUGACUAAAACAUAGUCGAAAGCUAGAAUUAUACUAAAAUGUUCCUUUUCUUUUGUAUUUUUCAGAAAACGUACCCCAAGCAUUCAGAACAUGCAACAAAACAGUUUUUGGUGAGCUAUGAAUUAAGGACAUUAUACUAUUUUUUGCAGAAUCAAAGGAAUUCAUAGAAAGUAGACGUUUAAAGCCUAAAAUUCAGCCGCUCUGUUCACUCUUAGUCCUGCUCACUCAAAUAAAAUUGUACUUUUGGCAACGUUCAUUUCGUUUCAUUUUUGUCGAAAUAUUGUAUAUAUAGUAGUUCUACAAACGAUUGUUUUUCUUACGGAUGAUUGCUGUGUUAUGCAUAUACAAUUUGGAGGUAAAA
Paramuricea clavata is the source of this 1012-nucleotide non-coding RNA. The record is from the annotation of a GenBank genome assembly. NCBI's taxonomy places the organism in Eukaryota, Metazoa, Cnidaria, Anthozoa, Malacalcyonacea, Plexauridae.